AUUAAACGCUGGCGGCAUGCCUUACACAUGCAAGUCGAACGGCAGCACGGGGGCAACCCUGGUGGCGAGUGGCGGACGGGUGAGUAAAGCAUCGGAACGUAUCCUGGAGUGGGGGAUAACGUAGCGAAAGUUACGCUAAUACCGCAUAUUCUGUGAGCAGGAAAGCAGGGGAUCGCAAGACCUUGCGCUCUGGGAGCGGCCGAUGUCGGAUUAGCUAGUUGGUGGGGUAAAGGCCUACCAAGGCGACGAUCCGUAGCGGGUCUGAGAGGAUGAUCCGCCACACUGGGACUGAGACACGGCCCAGACUCCUACGGGAGGCAGCAGUGGGGAAUUUUGGACAAUGGGCGCAAGCCUGAUCCAGCCAUGCCGCGUGAGUGAAGAAGGCCUC
RNAcentral lists this ribosomal RNA (388 nucleotides) under uncultured bacterium. Its description in RNAcentral is "bacterial SSU rRNA". It matches the Rfam family "Bacterial small subunit ribosomal RNA", at positions 29 to 418 of the family's 1533-position model. The record is from RNAcentral.